CCCUGCGUAGCUCAAUGGUAGAGCGGCGGUUUGUGGCACCGCAGAUCCGGGUCCGAUUCCUGGCGCGUGGA
Molecule: transfer RNA, 71 nt
Filed under: Mycobacteroides immunogenum
Lineage: Bacteria; Bacillati; Actinomycetota; Actinomycetes; Mycobacteriales; Mycobacteriaceae
Description: tRNA-His
Rfam family: tRNA
About the family: Transfer RNA (tRNA) molecules are approximately 80 nucleotides in length.
Source: RNAcentral